AUUGAACGCUGGCGGCAGGCCUAACACAUGCAAGUCGAGCGGAUGAAGGGAGCUUGCUCCUGGCUUCAGCGGCGGACGGGUGAGUAAUGCCUAGGAAUCUGCCUGGUAGUGGGGGCUAACGUCCGGAAACGGGCGCUAAUACCGCAUACGUCCUGAGGGAGAAAGUGGGGGAUCUUCGGACCUCACGCUAUCAGAUGAGCCUAGGUCGGAUUAGCUAGUUGGUUGGGUAAAGGCCUACCAAGGCGACGAUCCGUAACUGGUCUGAGAGGAUGAUCAGUCACACUGGAACUGAGACACGGUCCAGACUCCUACGGGAGGCAGCAGUGGGGAAUAUUGGACAAAGGGCGAAAGCCUGAUCCAGCCAUGCCGCGUGUGUGAAGAAGGUCUUCGGAUUGUAAAGCACUUUAAGUUGGGAGGAAGGGCAGUAAGUUAAUACCUUGCUGUUUUGACGUUACCAAAAGAAUAAGCACCGGCUAACUUCGUG
This 484-nucleotide ribosomal RNA is filed under the name uncultured bacterium. Its description in RNAcentral is "partial 16S ribosomal RNA". It matches the Rfam family "Bacterial small subunit ribosomal RNA", at positions 30 to 507 of the family's 1533-position model. The record is from RNAcentral.